GACGAACCGAGCGAACGUUGUUCGGAAUCACUGGGCUUAAAGCGUGUGUAGGCGGACUUGUAAGUACCUUGUGAAAUCCCACGGCUCAACCGUGGAACUGCUUGGUAUACUGCUUGUCUUGAGCCACUUAGGGGCUACCGGAACAAAUGGUGGAGCGGUGAAAUGCGUAGAUAUCAUUUGGAACGCCAAUGGUGAAAACAGGUAGCUGGGAGUGUGCUGACGCUGAGACACGAAAGCCAGGGGAGCGAACGGG
This 253-nucleotide ribosomal RNA is filed under the name uncultured bacterium. RNAcentral describes it as "partial 16S ribosomal RNA". It matches the Rfam family "Bacterial small subunit ribosomal RNA", at positions 524 to 776 of the family's 1533-position model. The record is from RNAcentral.